Molecule: ribosomal RNA, 1385 nt
Filed under: Lacticaseibacillus rhamnosus
Lineage: Bacteria; Bacillati; Bacillota; Bacilli; Lactobacillales; Lactobacillaceae
Description: bacterial SSU rRNA
Rfam family: Bacterial small subunit ribosomal RNA
Source: RNAcentral
ACACGUGGGUAACCUGCCCUUAAGUGGGGGAUAACAUUUGGAAACAGAUGCUAAUACCGCAUAAAUCCAAGAACCGCAUGGUUCUUGGCUGAAAGAUGGCGUAAGCUAUCGCUUUUGGAUGGACCCGCGGCGUAUUAGCUAGUUGGUGAGGUAACGGCUCACCAAGGCAAUGAUACGUAGCCGAACUGAGAGGUUGAUCGGCCACAUUGGGACUGAGACACGGCCCAAACUCCUACGGGAGGCAGCAGUAGGGAAUCUUCCACAAUGGACGCAAGUCUGAUGGAGCAACGCCGCGUGAGUGAAGAAGGCUUUCGGGUCGUAAAACUCUGUUGUUGGAGAAGAAUGGUCGGCAGAGUAACUGUUGUCGGCGUGACGGUAUCCAACCAGAAAGCCACGGCUAACUACGUGCCAGCAGCCGCGGUAAUACGUAGGUGGCAAGCGUUAUCCGGAUUUAUUGGGCGUAAAGCGAGCGCAGGCGGUUUUUUAAGUCUGAUGUGAAAGCCCUCGGCUUAACCGAGGAAGUGCAUCGGAAACUGGGAAACUUGAGUGCAGAAGAGGACAGUGGAACUCCAUGUGUAGCGGUGAAAUGCGUAGAUAUAUGGAAGAACACCAGUGGCGAAGGCGGCUGUCUGGUCUGUAACUGACGCUGAGGCUCGAAAGCAUGGGUAGCGAACAGGAUUAGAUACCCUGGUAGUCCAUGCCGUAAACGAUGAAUGCUAGGUGUUGGAGGGUUUCCGCCCUUCAGUGCCGCAGCUAACGCAUUAAGCAUUCCGCCUGGGGAGUACGACCGCAAGGUUGAAACUCAAAGGAAUUGACGGGGGCCCGCACAAGCGGUGGAGCAUGUGGUUUAAUUCGAAGCAACGCGAAGAACCUUACCAGGUCUUGACAUCUUUUGAUCACCUGAGAGAUCAGGUUUCCCCUUCGGGGGCAAAAUGACAGGUGGUGCAUGGUUGUCGUCAGCUCGUGUCGUGAGAUGUUGGGUUAAGUCCCGCAACGAGCGCAACCCUUAUGACUAGUUGCCAGCAUUUAGUUGGGCACUCUAGUAAGACUGCCGGUGACAAACCGGAGGAAGGUGGGGAUGACGUCAAAUCAUCAUGCCCCUUAUGACCUGGGCUACACACGUGCUACAAUGGAUGGUACAACGAGUUGCGAGACCGCGAGGUCAAGCUAAUCUCUUAAAGCCAUUCUCAGUUCGGACUGUAGGCUGCAACUCGCCUACACGAAGUCGGAAUCGCUAGUAAUCGCGGAUCAGCACGCCGCGGUGAAUACGUUCCCGGGCCUUGUACACACCGCCCGUCACACCAUGAGAGUUUGUAACACCCGAAGCCGGUGGCGUAACCCUUUUAGGGAGCGAGCCGUCUAAGGUGGGACAAAUGAUUAGGGUG